UGAUAUUUUUUUCUUUAUCAGUCUGCUGCUUGUCAAAGUCAAAGCCUAUGUUUCCACUAGGCAUCUUGACAACAAUGGCAGCAAGCUCUGCGUUUGGCAUUAACUUUGGUGAUACCUGGCCUGUCUGUCUCCGCUCAACACCAAACAACACGGACUCUUUUACCAUAUACUGGGCAUUGGAGUUCUGUUCAGCCGAAUCCAAGGAAG
Molecule: unclassified non-coding RNA, 207 nt
Filed under: Hevea brasiliensis (rubber tree)
Lineage: Eukaryota; Viridiplantae; Streptophyta; Magnoliopsida; Malpighiales; Euphorbiaceae
Source: RNAcentral